Molecule: transfer RNA, 76 nt
Filed under: Micromonospora humi
Lineage: Bacteria; Bacillati; Actinomycetota; Actinomycetes; Micromonosporales; Micromonosporaceae
Description: tRNA_Thr_TGT
Rfam family: tRNA
About the family: Transfer RNA (tRNA) molecules are approximately 80 nucleotides in length. Their secondary structure includes four short double-helical elements and three loops (D, anti-codon, and T loops). Further hydrogen bonds mediate the characteristic L-shaped molecular structure. tRNAs have two regions of fundamental functional importance: the anti-codon, which is responsible for specific mRNA codon recognition, and the 3' end, to which the tRNAs corresponding amino acid is attached (by aminoacyl-tRNA synthetases). tRNAs cope with the degeneracy of the genetic code in two manners: having more than one tRNA (with a specific anti-codon) for a particular amino acid; and 'wobble' base-pairing, i.e. permitting non-standard base-pairing at the 3rd anti-codon position.
Source: RNAcentral
GCCGGCGUAGCUCACCAGGUAGAGCACCGACCUUGUAACUCGGAGGCAACCGGUUCGAGCCCGGUCGCCGGCUCCA